AGGCCCUGUCUGUCUCCACGCUUCCUGUUCAGUCGACACUGAAUCCAAUAUCUCUCUGCGUCGUAUCGCCUCUUCUUCCUCAUCCGAAGACUCGGACUCGUCUUCCUCCUCCUGCGACGAUGAAUCGUCCCUACUAUCAUCGUGUGUAGGGAUACUUCUUCCAACGUCCGUCUCGAUAGGAAACACAGUAGACCGAUGUCCCUCAUAAUAUACCCGCUCUUGAGUCUGAGGAACCGGAGCCGCAGAUUGUUUGCCCUUCUCGAUCACGUAAACAACGGGAUAUUUCUUAUGCUCGGAAAUCAGCCGGUUCAAAUCCGAAUCAGUCUUCAAAGCCACUUUUAUUCUUCGCCCUUCGUCCGUGGUCGAUGUGUAGAAAAGCAUAUAAGUGGAUCGACCAUCCUCGUUUAAUUGAUCGUGCACCUCUUGCAUCAACUUCGCAUGACAAAGGUCUUCCUUAGACAUGUACACGACAACCUCAUCGCCUCCUUCAUACUCGGUUAAUUUCCACUGACCACUGUGCCGUAUAACGAUUGCUUGAAACGACAUCUGCUUCAAAACGACAAAAAUACAACAUUUAAAUACACAAACAGGAAACCGUGUACCCCAAUACAUCAACUGAAUAUACAAACAUGCUAAAAAUAACAUCAAAAUCAUAUUCAACCCAACCGUGUACAGCAAAUUCGACCACCGUGUACAACCGUGUACACAACCGUGUACACGGAAACCCUAACCGUGUACAGCAGAACACUAAGGGUUCAAAAAUAAGGUAAUUUGCGUACAGAGUGUUUUUUUAUGCCGUUUUUUUAGUCCAAAACAUGUAAUAAGUCAUAUAUAUAACAUAAUUAUUGAAAUAAACAACAAAAAAUCACUAAAACUCAAACCGUGUACAACCGUGUACAACCGUGUACUCUAGAACACCAACCGUGUACAGCCGAAAUUAAAAAAAAUAUGUAUUUCACAUACCUUAUGUAAUACAAGCCUUUAGAUGAUUUUUUUUUGAAUUUUUGAGCAACCGUGUAUGAGUCGUGUAUGUGUAUUGAGAGGAUUUUCUUCUUCUUUCUUGUUCAAAUGUCUGAUGAAUGAACAUUUGGUUGGUAUCCUUCAUUAACUACCCACAGCAGCCGUGUACGGAGCAUUUAAUUUCGUGAAUUUAAGGUUGUUUCCUUAACAAGUGUUUGAGUUGGUGUAAAUGCACCCAACAACCAUAAUAUCACAUAAAAUCACGCCAUAAACGUGAAUAGAGAGAGAGAAUCAGAUUUUGCUUAUUUUUAAAUCACAUUUUAACGUGAUUUCGGUUAUUUUUAAAUCAAAGAGAGAGAAUCAGAUUUUGAUCACAUAAAUUCACGCCAUAAUGCCAUAAGAUAUGGUUUGCUUACUCAGUUUUAAUUUUAACGUGAUAGAGAGAGAGGGAAUCAGAUUUUUAUUUUAUUUGGUUAUUUUUAAAUCAAAAAUAAGUAAUAUGUCACUAUCAUUCACUUUAUUGACUUGUACUUAUGUACUUUAGGUCAAAUGUGCUACAAAACUUAUUUAUUUAUGGGGUGUGAUACAAAACUUAUUUAUUUUAUCAAAAAUGCUACUACUAUGUAUUGUCACUUUAUAAAUUUUUCUGAAAUAAAAACAUAAAAAUAAGGAAACAAAGUCUUCAAAAAUUAAGGAAACAAAAUGGAAGAUUUUGUGAAAAUUAGAAACAAAUUAGCCGGAAAAAAGAAAGAAAAUGGACGAAAAAUAAGGAAAGAGAAUGGACAAAAAAAUCAAGGGAGAGAGACUAAUUUCAGAUAGAGUAAAAUUUUGAAGUAGCCAAAAUGAAGCAUAAAACACAAUUUAUGGCCACACAUUGAAAAAACACAAAUUUUGGCCAUUUUUAUUGAUUUGGACGUUUUUACCCUUAAUGAGGCGGACCGGGUAGGAUCAAGCACGCGGGUCGCGUGCCUGGUCGGGUUAGGCACUUAUUGCACUAUUAGUGCCAUAAGUAUCAAGAUUUUACUUUGGUUUUAUUUUGGAUUUCCGUUGGCACUUAUGGCACUAGUGCCAUAAGUGCCAACGGAAAUUUAAAAUAAAACCAAAGUAAAUUAAGCAUUUUGGGCACUUAUGGCACUAAUAGUGCCAUACGUGCAGCACAAAUACAGAAACAACAACAUCAUUUAAAUCCUAAAUGGAACAUCUAAACCCUAAAUGGAUAAUCUAAACCUCAAAUGAAUAAUCUAAAGUCUAAACCCUAAGGGGCCGUUUGAUUUGUAGUUUAGGAUUGAUUAGGAUUAAAAUUAUCUUGAGAAAUUAGUGUGGAUUAGUGUGGAUUUAUAUUAUUUCAUGGGUGUUUGAUAUCAUGGCUACUUAAUCCUAUAUUAUGUUUGAUAUCCAUAGGAUUAUGUUGGAUUAUAUUAUCUAAUACCAAAACUAUCCUCACAUAAUUUUAAAAAUAUCAUGUGUGUCCAUCAUUACUUGGGCAUUUGCAUCGAUAUGCGUGAGGAGGGUAGCAGAAUUUUUAUCCAACUUCUCAGUAUUAAAUUUAUCCGAGGGGGGAGGGGGUGGGCGGAUUAUUAGUAUGGGUUAAUCCCACAAAAUAGCAUGAAGAAGUAGGAUUAAGUAGGAGUUGACCAUAUUAACUGCACAUGAUAUCAAACAUCACACUAAUCUGUAUUAAUUUAAUUUAUCCUACCUAUAAACCCAUAUCAAACAGGCCCUAAAUGGAAUAUCUAAACCCUAGGGGGAAGUGUGCACUUAUGGCACUAAUAGUGCCAUAAGUGCCAUAUGUGCAGCACACAGAUCAGAUCAGAUCUGUCAUGGCUGAAAUCGAAGGAGGCGAAGAUCAGAUCUGCCGAUGGAGGAGGCGGCGCAACGAUCAGAUCAGAUCCACUGCCGCCACCUCAUCAGACCAGGUCUGCCGCCGCCGCGCGCUGGAGAGAGAGAGAGGGAGAUGAGAAAGAGAGAGGAGAGAGCGGCAGCCGUUGGAGAGAGCUGGAGAGAGAGAGAGAGAGGAUCUCCUCCACCACCGCCGCGAGAGCUCCGACGAAUUCUCCAAGCUCGGCGCCGCUGCCGCGCAGCCGCUGGAGAGAGAGAGGGAGAUGAGAAAGAGAGAGGAGCCGCUGGAGAGAGAGGAGGGAGAUGAGAAAGAAGGGUAGAAUAGUCAUGACAUACAAAAAAUGGCCAAAAUUUAUGUUUUUUCAAAUGGUGGACAAAAUUUGAUGUUGUAUGUUGAAUAGGGCCAUUCGGCCCUAUUGUUUCUUUCAGAUAUAUAUACAUGGAAAAAAUUAAGGGAUAAAACAGUAAAACCAAUAAACUCCUAAAACCGGCCCACUCUCUACUCACCAAAAAAACCGAUUUUUUACCAGGUGUUCAGUACAUCUGGUGUCCGUUUAUCACUACUCGUGUAACAAAUGGAGUACAUCGUUAACGUUUAGAGUAAAGAGGAAAUACAUUAUUAACUUUAUAUUUUGUGCAGCUAAAUCUGUAAAUACAUACUACUAUUAAACUUAUUUAUUUUCACUUGUAAACAUUGAGGAUGUAUUUAGUUGAUACUUAACAUUUUAAAUUUUAUCAUCUUUGUGUCAUUAACGGUUUACCCCAUCUAGCAAGGAAUUUAUAGACGGGGCAUUUGGUUUUCCAUUUGCAUCAUCAAAUGAAUUAGGAAUCUCGACAAUAAUAGUAAAAUAAUUUUUUUCGCAUAGUCAAACUGUAACACCCCGUCCAUUUAUAUUAAGUUUAGAAUUCAUUUUUAAUUUAGAAUAGGAUGAUUUACGCCGGAAAAAUGAAAAAAAAAUGAUUUAUUGUAAUUCCAACAAUUUUUAUUUCAAAAACUUUUUAGAAAAUUUAGUCUUUUGAUUUUUGUGCAUUGCAUAAAUUGAAUUAUAUGAAUAGGUGAUUAUUCUAUAUGAUUAAUAUUUAUUUGUAUACGAUUUAAUUAAAGUUUAUGUUAGACUUUAAUUAUUUAAAUGUGUUGAGCUUUGACAAAUAUUUAUUUGGGCAUUAGUUUUUGUUUAUUGAAAUGAUUUUCCAUAAAUACCAAAGCCCAAAAGCCCAAAUCAACCUCCUCCUUUGCACCACAGCCAAGUACAGCACGCAGCAGCUGCUGCUUGUGUUUCACCAUGCCUCUACAAUUGCUACACUAUUCACCCCCAUGCGCCCACUCCUACAAAGUCAUACAAAAUCCCUUAAUCAUAGGGAUUUUGGUUAAUAUUUUCAAACAUCUCUCACGUCUCACCUUCCUCUUUUCAACCUACACCAUCCCUUGUCAAUCUAAUCAACUCCAAAAGUCAAGCUUUAGCCAUGCUUGGCGGCCACCAACUCCCCUAAUUUCAGCCUCAAAUAUCUCUGCAUAAUUGAAGGAAACCCAUAUCUUGCACUUUCACUAGCAACUCAAAUAUCCUUUAAAUUACUCUCUCGUUCCAGCCUAUCCAUGAAGUUUCAAGUAUACAACAAGAGACCACCAUUCAAAGAACUCUUCCCCUACACAGACAUCACAAGGCUUUGUGACCAGGGGGAUUAGCGCUGCUUUCCCAAGACAGGUUUUUAUGUGUAUGAUCUUCAGGCUUUGCCUAUCCAGGUGGGCAUUACUUUCAUAUAUAUCAAAUGAGUUUAAAUGUUACGUUCAAGCAAGUUAUUUCAUGAUAAAAUCUUUGAGUUAAAGUUAUUUCAAGUAUUGUCUUGCCAUAAAAUGUUUCAAUUUUAGUAUGAUAUCUAUCUGCUUUGGCUUUGCCAAUGAUGCAAUCGAAUUCGGGUCCUGAGCAGUUGAUAGCUAUCCUGCCAGGACUAGUGUACACCAGUGACCGUGAGUCAUCUAGCGGGUUGGCCGGUCAAGUGACCGUGAGAGGUGGCCACCUCUCCGGCACAAAGUUCCAGAUAUGAUAGAUUACAAGAGAACUUAGUCUGCAGACGAACUUUAAGAAUCACAAAUGAACUUAGUAAGCUUGGGCCUUUUAGCGAAAAACUCCCUUGCUGUACUGUUUAUGAUGGCAUGACAAUUUACAGUUUUGAGCAUGUAUUUUUAUACUUAGGCAUACGUGCCCACUGAGUAUUUUUAUACUCAGCCCUGCAUGUAUUUCUAAAUGUGCAGGUUGAGCAGCUGAUGGAAUGGAAUGGUGUUGAGCGGGUGUUCCUUUGAUCGUUUCAAGAAAUGUAACCUUGAGUAUA
Molecule: long non-coding RNA, 5127 nt
Filed under: Salvia miltiorrhiza (redroot sage)
Lineage: Eukaryota; Viridiplantae; Streptophyta; Magnoliopsida; Lamiales; Lamiaceae
Description: long non-coding RNA (SMIL_LNC009335)
Source: RNAcentral